GGGAUUUUAUGUCACAAAUUCAGGGGACUGUUGAGGCACUUUGGUUUUAGAGGUGAAAAGGAAAGAACAACAUACAGACAAAGACUCUGUCAAGCUGUGUAGCAUAAUCCCAAGGCAGUGGAAUAUGAGGUGAAGAGAAUAAGAAGACAGUGGGUGUUGCCAUGAUGUUUUAGGUGGAGGGGGUUUUCUCUCCCUGGGAAGUUUCCAAAAAAUGCCAGUAAGAAAUUGAAGAUAUUUUAAUGUAUUCUUUUGCCAGCACUGAAUAUCCUUGACCACGAGGAAAACGGAUCAGAGACUGAAACAUGAGUUUCUUGUCUUAAAAAGUUGCAGCUGCCUGUUAAACUGAUUGUGGCUGUGCACAGGAUCUUGUGUGUUUUCACCACUUACUUUGUGGUUCCAGAGUAGAGCACUGAAUAUCCUUGACCACGAGGAAAACGGAUCAGAGACUGAAACAUGAGUUUCUUGUCUUAAAAAGUUGCAGCUGCCUGUUAAACUGAUUGUGGCUGUGCACAGGAUCUUGUGUGUUUUCACCACUUACUUUGUGGUUCCAGAGUAGAGGUAAGUAACUUAGGUAAAGGGCCUCAGAUCUUUUAAGACUGGAGUUAAGCAUUUUCUGCU
RNAcentral lists this long non-coding RNA (618 nucleotides) under Homo sapiens (human). RNAcentral describes it as "HSALNT0408978". Lineage: Eukaryota; Metazoa; Chordata; Mammalia; Primates; Hominidae. The record is from RNAcentral.